RNAcentral lists this ribosomal RNA (253 nucleotides) under uncultured bacterium. RNAcentral's name for it is "partial 16S ribosomal RNA". It matches the Rfam family "Bacterial small subunit ribosomal RNA", at positions 524 to 776 of the family's 1533-position model. The record is from RNAcentral.
UACGUAGGGGGCAAGCGUUGUCCGGAAUUAUUGGGCGUAAAGAGCGUGUAGGCGGCCAGAUAAGUCCGCUGUGAAAUCUCGAGGCUCAACUUCGAGCUGUCGGUGGAAACUAUCUGGCUAGAGUCCGGAAGAGGAGAAUGGAAUUCCUGGUGUAGCGGUGAAAUGCGUAGAUAUCUGGAGGAACACCGGUGGCGAAGGCGGCAUCCUGGACCGGCAUUGACGCUGAGGAGCGAAAGCCAGGGGAGCAAACGGG